This 519-nucleotide ribosomal RNA is filed under the name uncultured eukaryote. RNAcentral's name for it is "SSU rRNA". It matches the Rfam family "Eukaryotic small subunit ribosomal RNA", at positions 1161 to 1699 of the family's 1831-position model. The record is from RNAcentral.
AGGGCACCACCAGGAGUGGAGCCUGCGGCUUAAUUUGACUCAACACGGGAAAACUCACCCGGCCCGGACACUGGAAAGAUUGACAGAUUGAGAGCUCUUUCUUGAUUCAGUGGGUGGUGGUGCAUGGCCGUUCUUAGUUGGUGGAGUGAUUUGUCUGGUUAAUUCCGAUAACGAACGAGACUCUAGCCUACUAAAUAGAUCGUCGGCUUACAAACGCCGGCGAGACUUCUUAGAGGGACAGGCGGUGAUUCAACCGCACGAAACAGAGCAAUAACAGGUCUGUGAUGCCCUUAGAUGUCCGGGGCCGCACGCGCGCUACACUGAAGUGAUCAGCGUGCUUUUUCAACCUACUCUGUCAAGAGUGGGGAACCCAAUGAACCUUCUUCGUGAUUGGGAUAGGGGAUUGUAAUUGUUCCCCUUGAACGAGGAAUUCCCAGUAAGCGCGAGUCAUAAGCUCGCGUUGAUUACGUCCCUGCCCUUUGUACACACCGCCCGUCGCUACUACCGAUUGAAUGUUUU